UUUUGAACAGAGAUCUCAACGAGCCGAACACAUCGAUCAUUUUCAGCAACAGAGGCAUCUUUGUACGUCGUAUACGGCGAACUGCUUUCGAGAUCACGGAAGUAUCUUUCUCGAGAAGACAGUCGCUCUCUUCGUUUAGCUGAUCCGUUUUUACGAAUGAUUAUUGGACAUAAUAAAAAUGAAGGUUGUUGUUAUGGAUGGAGAAUUGGUCGAUUUGAAAUUGAGUAGAAGAAGAGGAUGAAACGACUAUUCGGACACAGUGAGACACGUGGGGCACGGAAGCAAGCCGUUAGAAGACUGGUCGAACUUGAGAGGCAUCCCUUGGCCUCGAUGCUAAACACAUAACUUAUAUGAUCUUCUAAGUAUCUUUCUCUUGUCAUGACAAUGAAAUGUACGUAUUCAUAUUAUUUAUCAAUUAAUUAUAAAUAGUUUUUAUUUUAUUAUUGGUUUUUAUAAUGAAAUUUUCAUAAUACUUUAUUUAUUAUUAUACUUAUUCACUUAUUAAAGCAUUUGUAAAUGGAUCUAAAUAAAUUUGUAUUUAAAUAACGUUAUUCAAAUAUG
Molecule: long non-coding RNA, 561 nt
Organism: Apis dorsata (giant honeybee)
Lineage: Eukaryota; Metazoa; Arthropoda; Insecta; Hymenoptera; Apidae
Exons: 2
Source: RefSeq, a predicted model, not a curated record